GACGAACGCUGGCGGCGUGCUUAACACAUGCAAGUCGAAGAUAGUGGCGAGCGGGUGAGUAAUACGUGGGUAACCUGCCCUCCUUUUUUGGCUACGCCUUGGAAACGGUGUCUAAUCCUGCAUAGAGGGGGCUGGGCUCGCGUCCUAUCAGCGUGUUGGUGGGGUGAUGGCCUACAAAGGCGGUGACGUGUAGCCGGCCUGACAGGGGGACCGGCAACAUUGGGACUGCGAGACGCCCAAGACGCCUACGGGAGGCAGCAGUGGGGGAUAUUGCACAAUGGCGAAAGCCUGAUGCAGCGACGCUGCGGGGGGGAUUAAGGUUUUCGGGUUGUAAACCUCGUUCGCUAUCGAACGGGUAGGUGGAGAAGAAGCGCCGGCUAACUACGUGCCAGCAGCCGCGGUAAUAC
This 407-nucleotide ribosomal RNA is filed under the name uncultured bacterium. RNAcentral describes it as "partial 16S ribosomal RNA". It matches the Rfam family "Bacterial small subunit ribosomal RNA", at positions 28 to 526 of the family's 1533-position model. The record is from RNAcentral.